This 221-nucleotide ribosomal RNA is filed under the name uncultured bacterium. Its description in RNAcentral is "partial 16S ribosomal RNA". It matches the Rfam family "Bacterial small subunit ribosomal RNA", at positions 328 to 544 of the family's 1533-position model. The record is from RNAcentral.
ACGCUCGACACCUACGUGAGGCAGCAGUGAGGAAUAUUGGUCAAUGGACGCAAGUCUGAACCAGCCAUGCCGCGUGCAGGAUGACGGCUCUAUGAGUUGUAAACUGCUUUUGUACGAGGGUAAACGCAGAUACGUGUAUCUGUCUGAAAGUAUCGUACGAAUAAGGAUCGGCUAACUCCGUGCCAACAGCCGCGGUAAUCUGAGCGGGCGUGGCGAAGGCG